Molecule: long non-coding RNA, 1076 nt
Filed under: Mus musculus (house mouse)
Lineage: Eukaryota; Metazoa; Chordata; Mammalia; Rodentia; Muridae
Description: long non-coding RNA chr16:13470687-13471763
Source: RNAcentral
GUGUGGGCUCCGGACCUCACACCAGUGUGGCAGAUUCAACAAGCCCAGAAUAAGCCUCUUCCUUUGCUCACAAUAAGGUGAAGUCUAUUUUUCUACUCCUCUGAAUCUAGGCUGUUCUCUUAGUGUUUCUACUAAUAGAGUGUUCUAGAAGCUUCUGCGCUGAUGACUUAAAUGCUGGGUAAGGAUGCUAGUCUUACCUAUUAAAAAAUGCAAAGCCUUGUGAAGAACUGAGAUAAUUUAGUCAAUAACUGAUGUCAACUGUCCCUCCACACUGCUAAAGAAGGUCACUCCCAACAACCAUAGUCAUUAACAACAGGUGCAUUGAGCUGAGGAACCACCCAGUUGGUGCAUAAAACCAUUCACUCUAGGCUGCUUUAAAGUGUAGUCUGGGAACUGUCUCUUAUGCAGCAAACCCCAACAAAUAUAUUAAAGGCUAAGCCAGAUUUCUAACCCAGGUCUUCUACUAUUAGAAUCGGAAUCCCUCAAGAACAGAGUCUGUGUCUUCAGAGCUCAGUAGGGAACCUCCAGGAAACUAUACCAACAAAUGCCACAAAACUGGGUGGGCUGUCUGUGUGAAGAGAGGGGCUGUCCUAGCCUAGAUCUCUAGGGCACUGACCUACAUUUAUUUUAGAUUUAUUAUAGAAGCAACAACUUCUGCAUACCAGAGGUGAGAGAUGCAGCAAUCCUCUCCGUGCUCAUGAAGCUUAAAAUUUGGGGGAGAAAGUAGAGAAAAGUAAGCCACUAGCUUGGCUCCGCCUGCUGUCCACCCCAUUCCUCUGCUCUAGUAUCCCCACCGUCAUCUAAGCUGCCACCUUUUCUCUUUCAGAUUAAGCCAACUGCCUCUUCAUUCCUCAGUCACACUCCUCCUCUGACCCUGCUCCAGGAGGCUCAUCUUGUCAGACUUCACACUGAAUGAGCGCUGAGGAUGCUGUAGAGUAUGAGCUGUGUGCAGGUAAGAGGGGUAAAUGGCUUUCCUGUGCUUGCCAGGACACGGUCGCUCUAGACUGGGGUCACCUUGAGAGGUGAGCAUGUGGAGGAGAAAACGCUAAUUCCAAUCCAGGAUUUCGACCCUGCUU